GAUUCUGGAGCUGAACCUGGGGCUUGGACCAACUUCUGCCAAAGUCCAAGGCUGCAGCCACCCAAAGGCGCAGUUCCAUUAUCCUCAGGGCAGUUUUCCCUUCAGGCAGCUGUAAGGCGUCUAGAAUUCAUCCCAGGACACCAUCACUGCCUGUUCCUCAAGACUUUCUCCUGUGGAACAGCGUCAGGGCAUUGCUCUCUCUCUCUCUUUCUCUCUUUAAUUUACUCUCUCUCUAUUUUCCCAGCUGUAACAGAGGAAGAUCUCUUUUGAAACAGCGUGUUCUCUGGAUCCCCUUUGCUGCCCCUCCUUCUGCUGCGCGGGACCCUCCUGGACUGGCACUACCUUGCAGGCCCAGACAUUCCUGGAAGAAUCUACUUCAGUGAUGUUUCAGGAGGAAAUGGACAAAUGAGAACAUCCCAAAAGGCAAGGCCAGGGCCACAGAAGACAUGGCGGAGGGAUUGCCUUCCUUCCUUUCCUUAUUUAACAAAGAAAUAUUAAAUUAGGAACAACUCUUUGCAGCUUAUUGAGUUGCUAACUGACAUGAAGUGUUGAAGAAAGUCCUGAAUAGAUUAUCAGUUCCUGAAACAAACAGUAUCAACAAGGCUCAUUGUCAUCACAAGAGAGAAACGAAUCAGUUCCCGGAUGUUCCUGGAUCAUAUAUCUGCCUCUGGAUUUAAGAAUUCUUGAAGUUCUGGAGCUACUUGAUUCUCUUUGUUUGAAGAGUGAAAUACCAAUAUAUUUCUUUUUAAUACUUUACAGUUUUUUUUUUAUUUUUUUUUAUUUUA
Molecule: long non-coding RNA, 785 nt
Filed under: Equus caballus (horse)
Lineage: Eukaryota; Metazoa; Chordata; Mammalia; Perissodactyla; Equidae
Description: lncRNA (ENSECAG00000043838.1)
Source: RNAcentral